RNAcentral lists this ribosomal RNA (550 nucleotides) under Agriosphodrus dohrni. RNAcentral describes it as "SSU rRNA". It matches the Rfam family "Eukaryotic small subunit ribosomal RNA", at positions 761 to 1307 of the family's 1831-position model. Lineage: Eukaryota; Metazoa; Arthropoda; Insecta; Hemiptera; Reduviidae. The record is from RNAcentral.
ACAAAUUAGAGUGCUCAAAGCAGGCCGUUGGUCGCCUGAAUACUGUGUGCAUGGAAUAAUGGAAUAGGACCUCGGUUCCAUUUUGUUGGUUUUCAGAACUCGAGGUAAUGAUUAAUAGGGACGGACGGGGGCAUUCGUAUUGCGACGUUAGAGGUGAAAUUCUUGGAUCGUCGCAAGACGAACCGAUGCGAAAGCAUUUGCCAAGAACGUUUUCGUUGAUCAAGAACGAAAGUUAGAGGUUCGAAGGCGAUCAGAUACCGCCCUAGUUCUAACCAUAAACGAUGCCAGCUAGCCAUCCGCCGAAGUUCCUUAUAUGACUCGGCGGGCAGCUUCCGGGAAACCAAAGCUCUUGGGUUCCGGGGGAAGUAUGGUUGCAAAGCUCAAACUUAAAGGAAUUGACGGAAGGGCACCACCAGGAGUGGAGCCUGCGGCUUAAUUUGACUCAACACGGGAAACCUCACCAGGCCCAGACACCGGUAGGAUUGACAGAAUAAGAGCUCUUUCUUGAUUCGGUGGGUGGUGGUGCAUGGCCGUUCUUAGUUGGUGGAGC